Long non-coding RNA from Pygocentrus nattereri (red-bellied piranha), 974 nucleotides. Lineage: Eukaryota; Metazoa; Chordata; Actinopteri; Characiformes; Serrasalmidae. The record is from Ensembl.
GCACCAUCCAAUGCUUAAAAAAUAAUCUUUUUAACAUUCAUAUUCAAGACUCUGAUUGUAUUCUUUAAUGUCUUCUAUUGACAGGAAGAUCAAGCCUCUGAGGAGGAGGAGAUGGAGGAGGACAUUUAUGAUGAUGAAGUGUAUAACUAUGAAUAUGAGGAUAAGCUGGAUGCAGAGGAAACUGAAAAUUCCCAAGAUGAGGAGAAAGACAGGAUCCAAACAACAACAGAACGCUCUCUGCUGUCUCCACAAAUCAAAUACACAACAGCAGCUCCCCCUCAUACACAGGAAAUCACGGGGGUCUACAGAAGCACAGAGGGUCCCUUAUCCACACCCACACCAGGGGUCACAGAGCAGUACAGUGAGACCACAUCACCCUCAACUCUCAAUACAACACAGGCCCAGGAAGAGGCGUUGGUCUAGACUCAGUUAGAGGGACACUCAAGCUCUGGCAACGCAUGUGCCCUUCCUGAGAGGGGCCUGUAGAAACUGUGAAGUGUUAAAGCUGGGGAGGAUCUGACUGACCAGCAUUACUUGGGGAGGGACUCCUUUUCCAUCGCACAAUGACGAUGUCUCGGGCCACAUUCAUCGUGCCCAGGGGCGCCUGAUAAGAGUGCAGAGUUUCUGACACUUUACCACUAGCGUUUCACGUGAUAUGCUGCAGGUUUAUUUAUUUGCUGUGCCACAUGCUCAUGAGUGCUCAUGCAUUAAUUCAAGUCAUGUCAAACGUAUUCAUUCAUGAUUAUGACUGCAUAUAUUUUUUUCACCACUGCUUUAUUUAUUGAAAGGAUGUUUUUACUUUGUUUUCUGUGUUAUAUUAUAUAUAUAGUUACAGUAAAAGUAAUGAAAGCACAUGUAUUCUUUCCCAUGGACGGUAUUCUGUUCCCAUGUUUUCACUGGUGAAAUUCAAUGAUAUGGUUACUUUUCUCUUUUGUGUUUAAUCCUCUGUGGUGCAUGUGUGUCAGUAAAUUUGC